RNAcentral lists this ribosomal RNA (162 nucleotides) under uncultured bacterium. RNAcentral describes it as "partial 16S ribosomal RNA". It matches the Rfam family "Bacterial small subunit ribosomal RNA", at positions 355 to 509 of the family's 1533-position model. The record is from RNAcentral.
UAGGGAAUCUUCCACAAUGGACGAAAGUCUGAUGGAGCAAUGCCGCGUGAGCGAAGAAGGUCUUCGGAUCGUAAAACUCUGUUGCGGGGGAAAAAGGAAGGGAAGAGGAAAUGCUUUUCUUUUGAUGGUACCCCGCCAGAAAGUCACGGCUAACUACGUGCC